CCAAUAGCGUAUAUUAAAGUUGUUGCAGUUAAAAAGCUCGUAGUUGAAUUUCGGGAUCAGUAGGUUGGUCAUACCUCUGGUAUGUACUGGCCUCACUGAUUCCUCCCUCUUGAAGAACUGUAAUGUCAUUAAUUUGAUGUUGCGGGGAAUCAGGACUGUUACUUUGAAAAAAUUAGAGUGUUUAAAGCAGGCUCACGCUUGAAUACAUUAGCAUGGAAUAAUGAAAUAGGACGUAUGAUCCUAUUUUGUUGGUUUCUAGGAUUGACGUAAUGAUUAAUAGGGAUAGUUGGGGGCAUUAGUAUUCAAUUGUCAGAGGUGAAAUUCUUGGAUUUAUUGAAGACUAACUACUGCGAAAGCAUUUGCCAAGGAUGUUUUCAUUAAUCAAGAACGAAAGUUAGGGGAUCGAAGACGAUCAGAUACCGUCGUAGUCUUAACCAUAAACUAUGCCGACUAGGGAUCGGAUGAUGUUAAUUUUUUAAUGGCUCAUUCGGCGCCUUACG
Molecule: ribosomal RNA, 500 nt
Filed under: uncultured Glomeromycotina
Lineage: Eukaryota; Fungi; Glomeromycota
Description: partial small subunit ribosomal RNA
Rfam family: Eukaryotic small subunit ribosomal RNA
Source: RNAcentral